RNAcentral lists this ribosomal RNA (468 nucleotides) under uncultured bacterium. RNAcentral describes it as "partial 16S ribosomal RNA". It matches the Rfam family "Bacterial small subunit ribosomal RNA", at positions 28 to 507 of the family's 1533-position model. The record is from RNAcentral.
GACGAACGCUGGCGGCGUGCUUAACACAUGCAAGUCGAACGGAAAGGCCCUGCUUUUGUGGGGUGCUCGAGUGGCGAACGGGUGAGUAACACGUGAGUAACCUGCCCUUGACUUUGGGAUAACUUCAGGAAACUGGGGCUAAUACCGGAUAGGAGCUCCUGCUGCAUGGUGGUGGUUGGAAAGUUUCGGCGGUUGGGGAUGGACUCGCGGCUUAUCAGCUUGUUGGUGGGGUAGUGGCUUACCAAGGCUUUGACGGGUAGCCGGCCUGAGAGGGUGACCGGCCACAAUGGGACUGAGAUACGGCCCAGACUCCUACGGGAGGCAGCAGUGGGGAAUAUUGCACAAUGGGCGGAAGCCUGAUGCAGCAACGCCGCGUGCGGGAUGACGGCCUUCGGGUUGUAAACCGCUUUCGCCUGUGACGAAGCGUGAGUGACGGUAAUGGGUAAAGAAGCACCGGCUAACUACGUG